GACGAACGCUGGCGGCGUGCCUAAUACAUGCAAGUAGAACGCUGAAGAGCUGCGCUUGCUCUUCUUGGAUGAGUUGCGAACGUGUGAGUAACGCGUAUGUAACCUGCCUUGUAGCGGGGGAAAACUAUUGAAAACGAGAGCUAAUCGCGCAUAACAAUGGGUUGCACAUUUGAGUUAUGUGAAAUGGGGAAUUGCGCCACUACAAGAUGGAUCUGCGUUGUAUUAGCUAGGAGGUGAGGUAAUGGCUCAUCUAGGCGAGGAUGCAUAGCCGACCUGAGAGGGUAAGCGGCCAGCCUGGGACUGUGACCCGCCACAGACUCAUACGGGAGCCGGCAGUAGGGCAUCGUGAGCAAUGGGGGGAAAACUGAGCGAGAAACGCCGCGUGAGUGAAGAAGGUUUUCGGGUCGUAAAGGUCUGUUGUAAGUUAAGAACGGGCGUGAGAGUGGAAAGUUCACACUGUGACGGUAGCUUACAAGAAAGCGACGGCUAACUACGUG
This 497-nucleotide ribosomal RNA is filed under the name uncultured bacterium. RNAcentral's name for it is "partial 16S ribosomal RNA". It matches the Rfam family "Bacterial small subunit ribosomal RNA", at positions 28 to 507 of the family's 1533-position model. The record is from RNAcentral.